Molecule: long non-coding RNA, 281 nt
Organism: Cydia fagiglandana
Lineage: Eukaryota; Metazoa; Arthropoda; Insecta; Lepidoptera; Tortricidae
Exons: 2
Source: RefSeq, a predicted model, not a curated record
CCCAAACAUUCAAGGGUGAACAACUUUUCACACUCAACCCAAAUAGACGUCCACCUGGCUUCGCCCAACCGCGCCGGGUAUGGAGUAAACUAAACCGCAUUCGAACAGGUGUUGGAAACUGUGCCUACUACGGUCGAACACAUUGUUCUGGAAUGCCCUCACCAUGCAAAUUCAGGGGACGGAUUGAAGACCUCGCGAACCUCAGUGAAAGGGCCAUCGAGUAUCUGAAAAGAACAAACUUCAAUCUCUAGAUUAAUAUUUAAUUUAAAUCCAGUACCUAA